Molecule: ribosomal RNA, 328 nt
Filed under: uncultured eukaryote
Lineage: Eukaryota
Description: partial 18S ribosomal RNA
Rfam family: Eukaryotic small subunit ribosomal RNA
Source: RNAcentral
CCCUUAGAUGUCCGGGGCUGCACGCGCGCUACACUGAAGGAAUCAGCGUGCUAAAACCAUUGUCGAAAGGCAUUGGUAAACCCAUUAAAAUCCUACGUGAUUGGGAUCGGGAAUUGCAAUUAUUUCCCUUGAACGAGGAAUUCCCAGUAAGUGUGGGUCAUAAGCUCGCGUUGAUUACGUCCCUGCCCUUUGUACACACCGCCCGUCGCUGCCCGGGACUGAGCCGUUUCGAGAAAAGCGGGGACUGCUGCUAUCGGGGCUUUCGGGCCUUGGCUUCGGUGGAAACCGCUUUAAUCGCANUNGCUUGANCCGGGCAAAANUCGUANCA